GGAUGCCCUGGCAGUCAGAGGCGAUGAAGGACGUGCUAAUCUGCGAUAAGCGUCGGUAAGGUGAUAUGAACCGUUAUAACCGGCGAUUUCCGAAUGGGGAAACCCAGUGUGAUUCGUCACACUAUCAUUAACUGAAUCCAUAGGUUAAUGAGGCGAACCGGGGGAACUGAAACAUCUAAGUACCCCGAGGAAAAGAAAUCAACCGAGAUUCCCCCAGUAGCGGCGAGC
RNAcentral lists this ribosomal RNA (228 nucleotides) under Escherichia coli. Its description in RNAcentral is "partial 23S ribosomal RNA". It matches the Rfam family "Bacterial large subunit ribosomal RNA", at positions 26 to 254 of the family's 2925-position model. The record is from RNAcentral. Lineage: Bacteria; Pseudomonadati; Pseudomonadota; Gammaproteobacteria; Enterobacterales; Enterobacteriaceae.